Molecule: ribosomal RNA, 106 nt
Filed under: Kryptolebias marmoratus (mangrove rivulus)
Lineage: Eukaryota; Metazoa; Chordata; Actinopteri; Cyprinodontiformes; Rivulidae
Source: RNAcentral
CAGGGUUAUAGCCACCCCUAUCUCAUCUGACCUCAGAAGCUAUGAAGGGUUGGGCCUUAUUAUACUUGGAUGGGAGACCUACAGGUGCUCUAAGCUUUGGCUCAGU